Molecule: long non-coding RNA, 131 nt
Organism: Mustela erminea (ermine)
Lineage: Eukaryota; Metazoa; Chordata; Mammalia; Carnivora; Mustelidae
Exons: 3
Source: RefSeq, a predicted model, not a curated record
UUAUGGUAGUUACCAGACAUCUUUAGUGUUUGAUAUAAUAUUCAGUGAUUCAUUCGUUGCAUGUAACACUCAGUGCUCAUCACAACACGUGCCCUCCUUAAUACCCAUCACUGCAUUAUCCCGCCCCCCUG